AUGAACGCUGACAGAAUGCUUAACACAUGCAAGUCAACUUGAAUUUGGGUUUUUAACUUAGGUUUGGGUGGCGGACGGGUGAGUAACGCGUAAAGAACUUGCCUCACAGCUAGGGACAACAUUUGGAAACGAAUGCUAAUACCUAAUAUUAUGAUAAUAGGGCAUCCUAUAAUUAUGAAAGCUAUAAGCGCUGUGAGAGAGCUUUGCGUCCCAUUAGCUAGUUGGAGAGGUAACGGCUCACCAAGGCGAUGAUGGGUAGCCGGCCUGAGAGGGUGAUCGGCCACAAGGGGACUGAGACACGGCCCUUACUCCUACGGGAGGCAGCAGUGGGGAAUAUUGGACAAUGGACCAAGAGUCUGAUCCAGCAAUUCUGUGUGCACGAUGAAGUUUUUCGGAAUGUAAAGUGCUUUCAGUUGGGAGGAAAGAAAUGACGGUACCAACAGAAGAAGUGACGGCUAAAUACGUG
Molecule: ribosomal RNA, 466 nt
Filed under: uncultured bacterium
Lineage: Bacteria
Description: partial 16S ribosomal RNA
Rfam family: Bacterial small subunit ribosomal RNA
Source: RNAcentral